This is a long non-coding RNA of Tupaia belangeri chinensis (Chinese tree shrew), 666 nucleotides long. RefSeq lists it as uncharacterized. The record is from RefSeq and is a predicted model, not a curated record. NCBI's taxonomy places the organism in Eukaryota, Metazoa, Chordata, Mammalia, Scandentia, Tupaiidae. The transcript has 4 exons.
GAGGGUGGAAGCUGGAAGGGCGCAAGCGUGAAGGGGAGUCUGAUCUCAUCCUUCUGCUUUUGUGUGCUCCUUUUUGCUUGGCGGUUGGAAUGUGGGUUUCACUGGGAUUUACUUCCAGAAGCAGGCUCCUUUCUCUAAGGUGUGUCUCGCAGAGGGUUCGGAGUGCCAGAAAAAGGCUGAGGGAGGAACACACCAAAGAGAACGCCCCACUUCUCAAGCCUGACUUCGCUGUGCCUGCUCCACCCAGCCUACUCCAGUCAAACCCAUGGACCCACCCCUUCCAACACCCAGUCACAUCCAGCGGCAGCCUCUUCGGUGACACUGUGUGCUCUAUAGCCUUUUGGAUCAUCAGUAAGGAGGGAUUUCAGGAAAAUCAGAAGUGCGUACUGAGUCUUGGAUGACAGCACCAGUAAAUGCCUUCUGCUGCUUCUACCACUGGAGAGGAGUGGUCCACAGUCCCUCCUUAAUUCCCUGUAUCCACGUUUGCUGCUGUGACUUGGAUGGUCCUCUGUCUUCUCCACCCAAGGACUGUAAUGUCUUGAGCCUGUUGUGCUUCUCCAGUGCCUGGUAGUCAGAGAGUUCAUGCUGAAAAAGAGGCUGGAGCUUAUGCAUGUGAGGAAUUUGAAGGCUGAAUGACUAAACCAUGUGAGCUUCUCCACGAGGUAG